AAAGUCGUAACAAGGUUUCCGUAGGUGAACCUGCGGAAGGAUCAUUAAUGAAUCGUAAGGACGCUCUUUUUAGAGGUCCGACCCCUUCAUUUCCUUACACUGUGCACACACUUCUUUUUACACACUUUUAACACAUCAGUUUAAGAAUGUAAACAGUCUCUUAAUUGAGCAUAAAAUAAAUAAAACUUUCAGCAACGGAUCUCUUGGCUCUC
This 212-nucleotide unclassified non-coding RNA is filed under the name Basidiomycota sp. Its description in RNAcentral is "partial contains small subunit ribosomal RNA, internal transcribed spacer 1, and 5.8S ribosomal RNA". The stretch from base 1 to 47 matches the Rfam family "Eukaryotic small subunit ribosomal RNA", at positions 1785 to 1831 of the family's 1831-position model. The record is from RNAcentral. Lineage: Eukaryota; Fungi; Basidiomycota.